This 345-nucleotide unclassified non-coding RNA is filed under the name soil metagenome. RNAcentral's name for it is "partial contains 5.8S ribosomal RNA, internal transcribed spacer 2, and large subunit ribosomal RNA". The stretch from base 1 to 120 matches the Rfam family "5.8S ribosomal RNA", at positions 35 to 154 of the family's 154-position model. The record is from RNAcentral.
GAUGAAGAACGUAGCGAAAUGCGAUAGGUAAUGUGAAUUGCAGAAUUUAGUGAAUCAUCGAGUCUUUGAACGCACAUUGCGCCCCCUGGUAUUCCGGGGGGCAUGCCUGUCCGAGCGUCAUUGCUGCCCUCAAGCACGGCUUGUGUGUUGGGCCUCCGUCCUCCUCCCGGGGGACGGGCCCGAAAGGCAGCGGCGGCACCGCGUCCGGUCCUCGAGCGUAUGGGGCUUCGUCACCCGCUCUUGUAGGCCCGGCCGGCGCUUGCCGACACAUCAAUCUUUUUUCCAGGUUGACCUCGGAUCAGGUAGGGAUACCCGCUGAACUUAAGCAUAUCAAUAAGCGGAGGA